This 405-nucleotide ribosomal RNA is filed under the name uncultured bacterium. RNAcentral's name for it is "bacterial SSU rRNA". It matches the Rfam family "Bacterial small subunit ribosomal RNA", at positions 30 to 417 of the family's 1533-position model. The record is from RNAcentral.
AGUGAACGCUGGCGGCAGGCCUAACACAUGCAAGUCGAGCGGCAGCGGGUCCCCGCGAGGGGAUGCCGGCGAGCGGCGGACGGGUGAGGAACACAUCGGAAUCUGCCUGGUUGUGGGGGAUAACGUAGGGAAACUUACGCUAAUACCGCAUGAGACCCUGAGUCGACGGACUGGGGGUGAAAGUGAGGGACCUUCGGGCCGUCACGCGACCAGAUGAGCCGAUGUCGGAUUAGCUAGUUGGCGGGGUAACGGCCCGCCAAGGCGACGAUCCGUAGCUGGUCUGAGAGGAUGAUCAGCCACACUGGGACUGAGACACGGCCCAGACUCCUACGGAGGCAGCAGUGGGGAAUCUUGGACAAUGGGCGCAAGCCUGAUCCAGCCAUGCCGCGUGGGUGAAGAAGGCCU